Molecule: long non-coding RNA, 2664 nt
Organism: Spinacia oleracea (spinach)
Lineage: Eukaryota; Viridiplantae; Streptophyta; Magnoliopsida; Caryophyllales; Amaranthaceae
Exons: 3
Source: RefSeq, a predicted model, not a curated record
CUCUCCAAGGACUUGACACUAUAAACAAGACAAAUUUUGUCUCAAUUUUUCCAACCAAAUCAGUUAACAAAACUGAAAACAAUCACCACCAUUGCCGCCCUCUAUAAGCACAAACAAACCAAAUUUCUGAAUCAAAAAUCAAACCAAAAACCAAGUUUCCCCCCCCCCUUUUGUUUCUCUGAUUUGAACCAACCACCACCACCAUAACCACCGACUACCACCGUGACAUCCCCCACCACCAUCCACCACCAUUAACACCAGACCAACCACCCGACCACCACUGUACCCCACCGUACUUCCCCCAGCCCUCCCCCUCUUUCGUCGCAUCUCCCCAGCUCCAUCUCCCCUUUCCCUGUCGCACUGCCGCGAACCACCACAUCACGCAACCACAACCACCAUCAUCAAUAAAUUAUUGUCCAAGAUCCCCGGCGAGCCGCCGGCAAGGACCAACCCGAGACACCCCUCCCUCAAAAAUACCCCUACCCUGCUUUCCCCUCCUCCGUUCGACCACCAUUUUCUCCCUUCAUCGCGGCUCUGCCUCCGCGAACCCUCACACCAUCACCGUCGCCUCCGGCGCGGUUUGCGCUGCGGCACCGCCCAGCUCAGGCGGCCACCUCCUCUGCUCUCCUCCUCUCCUCCUGCUUUGCCUUCCCCUGUUCCUCCCCUCUCUCUUUUGGUCGAAUCCCAGGAAACCAAAAACCCAAUUACGUGACCUUAUUUUAUUGCUUUAACAAACCCAAAUCACAAGCUGGCCCAACUCUAGAUCUUUGGGCUUUGGAAAUCGGACUUGGAGCUCAGGAAGAACGAUCCAUCAGACGGGAAAUAUAAAACUACGGUUGAGGUACUGUGGGGAUCGAUGGAAAUGAGUAGAGGCAAGGAAUUUUACUUUAAUAAUAUUCACCUAGUUUAUGCUUAAAGUUAUAAUAGUUUAAUUAAAGACUUUUUAGUAAGUUAUGUACUUUUAUUUUGAGAAUAUAAAGGAUUAUUAUAUUAAAUUGAAGGUUUUUAUGGCUUAUGUAUGAUGUUGCCUUGUAAUUUCCAAGAGGGAAUUACGGCAGGUAAUGUCCCGACCAAAUUAGGUUAAUUCCGCUGCUAAUUAUGCUUUAAUAUUUGAAUUAGAGGUCGGGGCGUUACAGUUUAGCAAUGAAACUAAUUAGUUAAGCACUAGAACUAAUUAGUUAGCAAUCAAAGUGAUUUUUUCGGUAAGACGAUCUUACACAAAAGUUAUCGUUUAAUUAGUAUCGAUUAUAGACUUUAUUAACCAUUCACAAGUAUAUAUUCCGCAAGAACUAAUUGGUUGUUUGGUUCACGUAGGAUAUAGAAGUUUCCACGAAAUUUAACUUUUAUGGGACGUAAAUUCCAUAAUUAAAUUUAUUCGAAUUUCCUAAAGUUUUUUAAUUGACCGAUUUCCUAAAGUAUUUUAAUUGAUGGGGAAGUAAUUUCGCAUGACAAUUUCUACACACAGGUGGGGGUUUGCUUUUGUCAAGAAAGCAAAUUCCCAAGUGUUGUGUUAAAUGGAAACUUUUUUAUCAAUUGAACGUUCACAUACCUUGCAUAUUUAGGAACUCUCACUUCGUACAAUUUUUUGUUUUGUUUUCUUUGGCAUGCCAAACAAUACGGAGUAUCUAGAGCUGUCAAAAAUUGACCCGACCUGAAAACCCGACCUGAACCGACCGAAUCCGUAACCGACCGUGACCCGAAAUUACGGUAAAUCAGGUAACCCGAAACCCGACCUGUACCCGACCCGAAAAAACCGAUAAUCGAUUUUGACCCGAUGUUGUAACACCCGAACCCGACACCCGACCCAAAAAUGACCGAUAACCGAACUGACCCGACCGAACAAUGACCCGAACCCGAUUCGAUACCCGACCCGAUGUCAACCCAAAACCGAUUGUAACUCGAUGAAACCUGCUAUUGACCCGACCUGUGACAACCCGCUACCCGAUUUACCCGAGUUAUCAAUGACACGACCAAAUAUUAACUUCAACGAUAAAUCUAUUUUAAUUAUUUAUUGCUAGGUACUGAAAAAUUUAACUCUAAAAUAAGUUAAACAAAAUUUUUUAGAAUAUAAAAUAAUUAAAAUGUAUAUGUUAAUUAUCAGACCCGAGUUUGACCCGUCCCUGAGAGUGACCCGACCUGAAUUCUAUUUGAUCUGAUUAUUAUCCGAUCCAAACUAAUACACGAACCCGAAAAUAAUUGUGUUGCAAACCGACUUAAACCCGACUCGAUAAGACCCGAACCCGAAAUUACCUGCUACAAACCGACUUAAACCCGACCCGAUAAGACCCGAACCCGAAAUCAAACCUGGCCGAAAUGUGACCCGAUCCGAACCCGACCUGAACCCGAGAUAGGAAAAAACCCGACAUGACCCGACCUGAAAUCGACCCGACCGAACCCGAACUCAACCCGGAUGGAAUAUUGACCCGACACGACCCGACCUGAUCAUGACCUGAGACCCGGGAUGACCCGACCCAAACCCGACCCGAUGACCUGUUUUGACAGCUCUAGGAGUACCUAACAAUGUGUAGAGUUGAACUCUCCCAAAUACUACUCCCUUCGUCAUUUUUUGUUUUUUACGUUUGUUUUGGGUGUCUUAAAAUGUUAUUUACGUUUCCUUUUAUACUAUCACAUAAAUGCUUUAAUAUUCUAUCAAAAUUUGUGUUC